CACGCCCUAAACGAUGUCAACUAGUUGUUGGUAGGGUAAAACCUAUUAGUAACGGAGCUAACGCGUGAAGUUGACCGCCUGGGGAGUACGGCCGCAAGGUUAAAACUCAAAGGAAUUGACGGGGACCCGCACAAGCGGUGGAUGAUGUGGAUUAAUUCGAUGCAACGCGAAAAACCUUACCUACCCUUGACAUGUCCAGAAGCCUUGAGAGAUUGAGGUGUGCCUUCGGGAACUGGAACACAGGUGC
RNAcentral lists this ribosomal RNA (247 nucleotides) under uncultured Azovibrio sp. Its description in RNAcentral is "partial 16S ribosomal RNA". It matches the Rfam family "Bacterial small subunit ribosomal RNA", at positions 796 to 1041 of the family's 1533-position model. The record is from RNAcentral. Lineage: Bacteria; Pseudomonadati; Pseudomonadota; Betaproteobacteria; Rhodocyclales; Rhodocyclaceae.